CGACUGGCUGGUCAGAGCCACCAGGCUGUGUCCUGGCACAGGAGUUGUGCAUGGGCGGGACUCUGGGUUCUCAUGCCCUGGGGAGCGCCCGCGCCUGGGGCAGGGCUCCGUAGACUCCUUUGUCACCCCUCAGCUUCGCCGUGAGGAAAAUGUCCUGCAAACACCAGCCCAGAUGGAGGGAGCCACGGCUUCACCACUUCCUGCCGGUGUGCCGGGCUGCGCUCCAGGGACCGCUGGGGCCGUCACCAAAAGAACGGAGCCCAGGGAACGUGGAGAGGAGCCCAGAUGCCUGAGGACCGAGGAGGUUCCAGGGGUGCAGGACCUUUGAUGCUUAGAGCCAGGAGAGGCCACUCGGCCACCCUAAGGGCAGGUCUUCUGCCCCAGGCCGCGUGUGGUUUCUUUCGACACACUGAGGAAGCCUUUCUCCUGAGAUCACCAAAUGCAGCCUGCCCGGUUUCUGUUCCCCAUUACUGCGUAUGCGGUGGGCAAACCUCCUCCGGCCCUGAAAGCUCCUGGCUGCCUGGGGAUUUUCUGUGUGCUCCUACAUAAAAAGCAGCUUCUGUCACUCAACUGGCAAAUACAGUCUCAAUUCAGAGUCAGUCCAAAUCCAUUACCCUAACCCUGAGAUAUUAAUCCAAGCUCCAUUCUUGGUUUAAA
RNAcentral lists this long non-coding RNA (657 nucleotides) under Homo sapiens (human). RNAcentral's name for it is "HSALNT0317872". Lineage: Eukaryota; Metazoa; Chordata; Mammalia; Primates; Hominidae. The record is from RNAcentral.